GUUGGGCGUGGUGGCUCAUGCCUGUAAUCCCAGCACUUUGGGAGACUGAGGUGGGUGGCUCACCUGAGGUCGGGAGUUCAAGACCAGCCUGACCAAUAUGGUGAAAUCCCAUCUCUA
Unclassified non-coding RNA from Papio anubis (olive baboon), 117 nucleotides. It matches the Rfam family "Metazoan signal recognition particle RNA". Rfam says of the family: The signal recognition particle (SRP) is a universally conserved ribonucleoprotein. It is involved in the co-translational targeting of proteins to membranes. NCBI's taxonomy places the organism in Eukaryota, Metazoa, Chordata, Mammalia, Primates, Cercopithecidae. The record is from Ensembl.